Molecule: long non-coding RNA, 1679 nt
Organism: Mercenaria mercenaria
Lineage: Eukaryota; Metazoa; Mollusca; Bivalvia; Venerida; Veneridae
Exons: 3
Source: RefSeq, a predicted model, not a curated record
AUUCUUGUCCUUGUAACCGAUAAGACAAACAUAAAUUGAUUAUGAUUCACCCUGAAAUCUUUUUAGAAAAAAAACUUUAACUGGGAUUAUAAAAACAAGCCUGUGAAAAAUGGCACAGAAAGGAAAAACUAGUUUAAGAUACUAUAAAACUGCAGUCGUGUUUGGUUAAGUGGUGAUUAUGAAAUCCUAAAAGAUACAAUAACAUAUAGACUGGAAAAAGGUUGUCCAAAACAUUUUUAGAGACAUAACGUCUUUUGUGAAAAUCCUUCGUAUACCUCACAUUUAUUUCUGUUUCUACGUGGAAAUAUUGAAAUUACACAAGUAUUCUUACAUCAUAGCUCAGAGAAAACAGUAACUUAAAAAUGCCUCCCUUACGGCAACCGAAGUACUGUCAUUUGAUAUCUGUCGUUCGUCAUUGUGGCUUAAAAAUAACAAAGGCAUUGUUUCUGAAAAAAGUACAGGAAAUUACACCCGUGGGCCACGACCCUUUUCCGUGGACUGUUGACGACUUUUUGAUUGAAAAUAGAGGAAAGAUUAAGCAUAGGAGAUUUCUGAAUGAACUUUUUGCCAAACCGACAAACUUAAAUGAAUGGGAUAUAAGCACGUUUUGCUUUCUUCUUAUCAACUGCUGCAACCUUGAGGGAAAAGUCAAGCAAGACAUAUAUGAUUUUCAAACCGUUUGGAACGAUCUGUUUCAAUUUGGAGAAGGCGACAUCAGCGACCAGAUGUAUCAAAAGUACCUAGAACUAAUCAAGGAUAUAGUAGACAGAUGUUCAGAAGAGAUAGGUAAUCCUGCGCUUAAGAAAGAACUAAAAGCUGUUGUAAAAGAAAUGGAGGCUGUAGAAACGACCGACAUUGGAGAAAGACAGAAGUUGAGAGUAUGGUACACUGAUGAAAUAACAAGGCAAGGUAAAACAAAUUAGACAGAAGUAAGGUUUUAUGUAUGGUUUAAAAGUUCUCGUUACGCAUGAUGCUAAUUAUUGAUGUGACGAUAUUAACUUAUUAUGGGUAUUUUAACAGUAGCUUGAUAUGUGAUGUUGUAUUCAUUUUGAAGGCGUCUGGCAAAACCUUCGUGAGCAGAACACAACAUGGGAGACUUCGGUCAGUUAUCUCCCUUUCAUACUAUAUUAAAGCAAGUAGGUACAGUAACUUCUAUUUGGAUUACUCUGUAAUUGUUGCUAUAUUAUUUGUAACAAUAUGAUGUAAAUGAAGCUUAGUUAUUGAUCAUCAUGACUGUUGAUUUAAAAAAUGCCUUCAACUACAUAUUCUAUAAACACUCAAGUUUCUAAUUUUGACAUUCCAGACAUUUAAUUUAACAAAAAUGCAAGAUAUCUUAGAACUGAUAUAUCUCGCAAACCAACGAUAUAGUCACAGAUUUCCAAAUGAUGGUACCUACUUCCAAUUUUAUUAUUUUGGACAUUAUCCAAUAAGGGAGACAAUUUGAAACUCACCAAAGUCCAUCAUUGGAACACUACCAUUUAGUACGAAAUUGAAAUAGCAUGGCGCCAUUCAUAUUCACACACAUUGUGUUACCACGCUUCGUUACCAGCCUAAUAAAAUGUCGCACGAAGAAUUUUCAUUUUUUUUAUGUUUAAGCUUUUUUUUCAACUUUAUUAGUGAGAAAGUAUCAUUUGAAUGCACAAUUAUUUAAGUAAAAUGUUUAAUCUUCCUUUUCUCAA